This is a non-coding RNA of Cucurbita pepo subsp. pepo (vegetable marrow), 444 nucleotides long. NCBI's taxonomy places the organism in Eukaryota, Viridiplantae, Streptophyta, Magnoliopsida, Cucurbitales, Cucurbitaceae. The record is from RefSeq and is a predicted model, not a curated record.
GCACUUACCUGGACGGGGUCAAUGGGUGAUCAAAAAGACUCAUGGCCUAGGUUGGUGACCGCCAUUGCACAUUAAGGUGGGGUGCCCGCCUAAGGUCUGCCCAAAGUGGCAGAGCCUACGUCAUAAUUUGUGGUAGCGGGGGCCUGCGUUCGCGCGGCCCCCUCCCAAGUCUCCAGUUUUCAAACUUUCGGCUUCUCCAGGUAUCUGGUUCUUGGUUGAGACUCCUGAAAAUAUUCUUCUCAUUGAAAUCGACUGAAGCUGAAUUACUGGCAUGAUUUCAAUGUUUUCUUUUGGUGUAUUUGCAUUCUACAAGGAAAUUAAUUUCAUUAUAUCUUUUGAAUAUAUUCUCCAUAUCUAAAUUGAGUGUAUUGUAGAUUUAACUCAUGAAUAGGCUGUACAUUUGUUCCUUAAUCUGAAUGAAAACUUCUCCAAGCAUGAUUUUUC